CCUACGGGAGGCAGCAGUGAGGAAUAUUGGUCAAUGGACGCAAGUCUGAACCAGCCAUGCCGCGUGCAGGAAGACGGCUCUAUGAGUUGUAAACUGCUUUUGUACGAGGGUAAACGCAGAUACGCGUAUCUGUCUGAAAGUAUCGUACGCAUAAGGAUCGGCUAACUCCGUGCCAGCAGCCGCGGUAAUACGGAGGAUUCAAGCGUUAUCCGGAUUUAUUGGGUUUAAAGGGUGCGUAGGCGGUCGGAUAAGUUAGAGGUUAAAUCCCGAGGCUCAACUUCGGAAUUGCCUUUGAUACUGUUCGGCUAGAGAGUAGUUGCGGUAGGCGGAAUGUAUGGUGUAGCGGUGAAAUGCUUAGAGAUCAUACAGAACACCGAUUGCGAAGGCAGCUUACCAAGCUACUUCUGACGUUGAGGCACGAAAGCGUGGGGAGCAAACAGGAUUAGAUACCCUAGUAGUC
RNAcentral lists this ribosomal RNA (460 nucleotides) under uncultured bacterium. Its description in RNAcentral is "partial 16S ribosomal RNA". It matches the Rfam family "Bacterial small subunit ribosomal RNA", at positions 338 to 795 of the family's 1533-position model. The record is from RNAcentral.